This 397-nucleotide ribosomal RNA is filed under the name uncultured bacterium. Its description in RNAcentral is "partial 16S ribosomal RNA". It matches the Rfam family "Bacterial small subunit ribosomal RNA", at positions 523 to 918 of the family's 1533-position model. The record is from RNAcentral.
AUACGUAGGGGGCGAGCGUUGUCCGGAAUGAUUGGGCGUAAAGGGCGCGUAGGCGGCCGCUUAAGUCUGGAGUGAAAGUCCUGUUUUCAAGAUGGGAAUUGCUUUGGAUACUGGGGGGCUUGAGUGCAAGAGAGGUUAUCGGAAUUCCCGGUGUAGCGGUGAAAUGCGUAGAGAUCGGGAGGAACACCAGUGGCGAAGGCGGGUAACUGGAGUGCAACUGACGCUGAGGCGCGAAAGUGUGGGGAGCAAACAGGAUUAGAUACCCUGGUAGUCCACACUGUAAACGAUGAAUGCUAGGUGUAAGAGGUAUCGACCCCUUUUGUGCCGGAGUCAACACAAUAAGCAUUCCGCCUGGGGAGUACGGCCGCAAGGUUGAAACUCAAAUGAAUUGACGGGG